Molecule: ribosomal RNA, 500 nt
Filed under: uncultured Myrionecta
Lineage: Eukaryota; Ciliophora; Litostomatea; Cyclotrichida; Mesodiniidae
Description: SSU rRNA
Rfam family: Eukaryotic small subunit ribosomal RNA
Source: RNAcentral
UCUGCUCAAGACUAGCCAUGCACGUCUAAGUACAAACUAAAUGAUGGUGAAACUGCAAAUGGCUCAUUACAACGGUUAUGAUGUACCCGGGAGUUCCGAUGGAUAUUUCCAGUAACACUAGAACUAAUACAUGUCCCUGCGUUUAUUAGUUUCGCACAGUCCGUCGCUGAGUCAUGGUAAACAGUUGAUCGACUCGACGUCCCGGAACAGUUUCCGCCCCAUCAGCUUCGAUGGUUGGGUAUUGGCCUACCAUUGCAACAACGGGUAACGAGGAAUUAGGGUUUGAUUUCGGAGAGGGAGCCUGAGAAACGGCUACCACAUCUACGGAUGGCAGCAGGCGCGCAAAUUACCCAAUGCAGACACUGUGAGGUAGUGACGAGAAAUAAUAAAGCGGGACUUCUGUUUCGCUAUUAUAAUGAGGAAUAACCAAAGGUCAUUCCGAUUAUCAACUGAUGGGAAAGUCUGGUGCCAGCAGCCGCGGUAAUACCAACGUCAGUAGC